CCUACGGGUGGCAGCAGUGAGGAAUAUUGGUCAAUGGACGGAAGUCUGAACCAGCCAUGCCGCGUGCAGGAAGACGGCUCUAUGAGUUGUAAACUGCUUUUGUACAAGGGUAAACCUGAAUACGUGUAUUCAGCUGAAAGUACUGUAAGAAUAAGGAUCGGAUAACUCCGUGCCAGCAGCCGAGGUAAUACGGAGGAUCCAAGCGUUAUCCGGAUUUAUUGGGUUUAAAGGGUGCGUAGGCGGAUUGAUAAGUUAGAGGUGAAAUGUCCGGGCUUAACUCGGGAACUGCCUCUAAUACUGUUGGUCUAGAGAGUAGAUGCGGUAGGCGGAAUGUAUGGUGUAGCGGUGAAAUGCUUAGAGAUCAUACAGAACACCGAUUGCGAAGGCAGCUUACCAAUCUAUAUCUGACGUUGAGGCACGAAAGCGUGGGGAGCAAACAGGAUUAGAUACCCGUGUAGUC
Molecule: ribosomal RNA, 460 nt
Filed under: uncultured bacterium
Lineage: Bacteria
Description: partial 16S ribosomal RNA
Rfam family: Bacterial small subunit ribosomal RNA
Source: RNAcentral